Molecule: long non-coding RNA, 892 nt
Filed under: Macaca fascicularis (crab-eating macaque)
Lineage: Eukaryota; Metazoa; Chordata; Mammalia; Primates; Cercopithecidae
Description: lncRNA (ENSMFAG00000059116.1)
Source: RNAcentral
AGCUAAAUGAGGUCAAAAGAGUGGAGCUCUGACCCAAAGCAAGGAAGCUUUCACUUCCUCUCUCCCUUUAGACACAGCAAGAAGCGGCUGUCUAUAAACCAGAAAGAGAGCCUUCAUGAGAAACUGAAUCCACUAGCACCUUGAUCUUGUCUCUAGAAUUAUAAGAAACAAUACCCAAUCUGUGGUAUUUUGUUAUACAAGGUUGGGCAGACUUGUACAAUAUUCAUUUAGCAAAACUUACUGUGAACUUGGUAGGUAUCACAGCCAACGUCAAGGGAUACUUUUUCUUUAAAAAAAUAGAGAAAUUCACAUACUUCAAUCAUGUGAUUUUGAAAAGAUCUCAGGUAUUUUAUAAAAAUAAGAAAAAUAAUAAAAUCAUAUUGAAGACAUUAAAAUACCAGUAACGUGGUAUGAGACCCAUGUGGCUAAAAAAGCCCCAAUUAAUAUAUAUAAAUAUAUACCAAGAAAAACUGUUUUGCUUAUGUUUUUUUUAAUGUUCAUAUAAUGAACAUUGUAUUUAAAGUAAUUUUAAUAUAGGUGGAUAUAUUCUAUGUUGAUUAAAAAAUAUUAUUUUUCAAAAAUAGUUUUGACCAGAACUAUUUUAUAGUUCCACUAACAAAUAAAAAUCAGUACAUUAAUUAAUUGUUUAAAAUUUCAAAAUAUCAUUUAGAUUUAUUACCACUCUUAACACCUUGUUUCUCUCUUAAAACUGUUCUAGGUUGGACCAUAUAUUAUGGGAGCACCUUUUGCAAGGAUGAAAUAUUCAGUCUGGGUAAUUGUACUAAACUCUUCCACAAUAAUUGUGAUCUCAUCUUGGGAUUUACCAAAAAACAUUUAUAGCAUGCCUGAGAAGUCCAGAGAUCUGACAUGGAUUAAAUAUAAACAAAAAUGA